This 557-nucleotide ribosomal RNA is filed under the name uncultured Penicillium. Its description in RNAcentral is "SSU rRNA". It matches the Rfam family "Eukaryotic small subunit ribosomal RNA", at positions 194 to 756 of the family's 1831-position model. The record is from RNAcentral. Lineage: Eukaryota; Fungi; Ascomycota; Eurotiomycetes; Eurotiales; Aspergillaceae.
GGAAGGGGUGUAUUUAUUAGAUAAAAAACCAACGCCCUUCGGGGCUCCUUGGUGAAUCAUAAUAACUUAACGAAUCGCAUGGCCUUGCGCCGGCGAUGGUUCAUUCAAAUUUCUGCCCUAUCAACUUUCGAUGGUAGGAUAGUGGCCUACCAUGGUGGCAACGGGUAACGGGGAAUUAGGGUUCGAUUCCGGAGAGGGAGCCUGAGAAACGGCUACCACAUCCAAGGAAGGCAGCAGGCGCGCAAAUUACCCAAUCCCGAUACGGGGAGGUAGUGACAAUAAAUACUGAUACGGGGCUCUUUUGGGUCUCGUAAUUGGAAUGAGAACAAUUUAAAUCCCUUAACGAGGAACAAUUGGAGGGCAAGUCUGGUGCCAGCAGCCGCGGUAAUUCCAGCUCCAAUAGCGUAUAUUAAAGUUGUUGCAGUUAAAAAGCUCGUAGUUGAACCUUGGGUCUGGCUGGCCGGUCCGCCUCACCGCGAGUACUGGUCCGGCUGGACCUUUCCUUCUGGGGAACCCCAUGGCCUUCACUGGCUGUGGGGGGAACCAGGACUUUUACA